This 438-nucleotide ribosomal RNA is filed under the name uncultured bacterium. RNAcentral describes it as "bacterial SSU rRNA". It matches the Rfam family "Bacterial small subunit ribosomal RNA", at positions 29 to 485 of the family's 1533-position model. The record is from RNAcentral.
AACGAACGCUGGCGGCAGGCUUAACACAUGCAAGUCGAACGGGUGCAGCAAUGCAUCAGUGGCAGACGGGUGAGUAACACGUGGGAACCUUCCUAGGGGUACGGAACAACUCAGGGAAACUUGAGCUAAUACCGUAUACGUCCGUGAGGAGAAAGAUUUAUCGCCCUUAGACGGGCCCGCGUCGGAUUAGCUAGUUGGUGGGGUAACGGCCUACCAAGGCGACGAUCCGUAGCUGAUCUUAGAGGAUGAUCAGCCACACUGGGACUGAGACACGGCCCAGACUCCUACGGGAGGCAGCAGUGGGGAAUCUUGGACAAUGGGCGCAAGCCUGAUCCAGCCAUGCCGCGUGAGUGAAGAAGGCCUUCGGGUUGUAACUUCGGUAGACUGGGAAGAAGAAAUACGUUACGUUGUAGGGCGUAUAGUGACGGUACCAGUCUG